UCCAGAGGAACGUCUCUUCCUGGUGGCGGAGUCAAGUCUGCGAGAGCUCCUGUCACAGUGUCCUUGUGGCAGCAGCGAUGCUGAAACAGACAUCACAACAAGGGGCACAUGGCUGAGAGCAGCAACAGCUUGCAGCUGUGGGAAACUGCGUACAUGGUCCAGCCAGCCUUGGGUGGAAGACAGACCACUCGGAAACAUUCUGCUCUGUAGUGCGAUUCUGUUUUCCGGCGUGAACAUAACCAAGGCAUUUCGUAUGUUUGCCAUGAUGAAGGUGCCAACACUGACUUUGUCGCAGUACUUCAGAACACAGAAACAGCACCUCUUUCCUGCCGUGAAUGAUGUCUUCCUGAGCAGACAAGCUGAGCUACUGGACCGGCUCCGCCCAGUGCCCCUGACCCUUGCGGGAGAUGGCAGAUGUGAUUCGCCAGGCCACACAGCCCUCUAUGGCACUUACACACUGCUUGAGACAGUUGCCAAUAGGAUCAUCCACUUUGAAUUGGUCAAGAUAUCUCAUACCAAAUCUUUCUGUAACAGUAUCGUAAACAUUGCAUCAUGCAAUUCAUACUUUUUCGGGUAAUACCCGAUAUUUACCCUCAAGCUUCCAAUUUUCGGCCUUAAUCCAGUUUCUCCCUAAAAAAAAUGUGGUUCUAAUUAAGUGUUUUUUUCAUUGCGGAACUGGCAGAGCUUACUCACAAUGUUGUACUAAAAUCCUUAACACUACGAGCUCAGGACUAAUUGCUGCUAUUCAGAGAGUGGAAGAAGUGUUGACGCUGUACA
This is a long non-coding RNA of Ornithodoros turicata, 777 nucleotides long. RefSeq lists it as uncharacterized. The transcript is spliced from 3 exons. The record is from RefSeq and is a predicted model, not a curated record. Lineage: Eukaryota; Metazoa; Arthropoda; Arachnida; Ixodida; Argasidae.